UUGCUGAUUAUGCUGCAAAGAGGAAGGGACAGGAAGCAGCAAGCUUGAAAUGCAGAAAGAAAAGAAGAGAAGGAGAGAAAGAGCCAGAGCUGUGUGGGGUUGUUCAUAGUACUGCAACAUAGCAAAGUAUAAUGCACAGGGAAUGUUAACAGGCUGAAGCAGACUGGAUCCUGAGGUGAUCUGAACAGCUCCUGGAAGGGCUGAGGGUCCUUAUCUCCUGGCAGCAAUAGAGUGGAACAUAUCAAAGGAAAAACAUUGCAGCUUACAGGGUUGAGAAGAGACGGCAAGGGGAUUGCCACUACAUGUCAUUGCAUGACAUGAAGAAUGAAGUAUUUUAGGAGCCUCUGGUUGGUACAGAUAAGCCAAAGCAUUCUAGAUGCAAAGAGUAUAUCCUCAAAUAUGGCUGUACUAGAUGACAGCUUAAUGACAGUUCUGAGCCAGCUUUAACUAUUGUCUUGUCAGAAAGCACAAGGUUAUACACUGGAAGAAUACUGCUUUUGAGGAGGAGGUCAAAUCUGAAAAGGAAGAACAUCACCAAAGUGCAUUGUAGUCAGAAGGUGAUUGAUAGAGGCAAAAUAAUUCAGCUGAGACGUGCAGCCCAUUUCCUUGGCAUGACUGUGAACUGGAGCUGAAACUUCCCAGAGGCAUCCUUUCUCAGGGUGAGAGCCAAGCCAAAAAGACCAUCCAGGCUUGCAGCUGAAUCCAGCAUGGAUCAGCACUGUAGUUCUGGCCCAAUAAAACUUUCAGGACCAGACUUAAAUUUAUGGACUUUGGUAGUGCUCUGCUGGAGCAUGGGGGGAGGUGUGAGGGAGUGGUGAGCUCUGACUACUGCAGUGUUUGCUGUGAUUGUGUUGGGUGAUCCCAUCACUUUCAUUUGCACAGGGUGUCUAGCUAGGGAGGGGGCAGAGGGAAGCUUUCCUGUAGCACAUGGGGAGAGCAAGUCAGUUUGGUGGAAAACCCUGAGGAUUAGGUUUUGUUAGUCAGUUUGCUAACUGAGAGGGCUAAAUAGUGUUUAUGCUGCUGUAAUCUCAGUAGUACAGAAGAAGUUUGUUUCUCUUUGUUGCCAAGAUGUAGUUUAACUUAUUCACAAAGACCCUCUUCAGUUAAAGGACUUCACAUGCAAAGACAGACAAGCAUCGUUUGGCCAUUAAUUGUAUUGAAUGAGGAGGUAAAAUGCGAUCUCAGUGUUGCUGAACUAUUUAUUUUGGUUGUUGUUGUUGUUUAAUGCCAGCUCCAUGGAGAACUCUGGUAUACUUCAUAUAUCCCUACGUCAUACAUUUCAUGAUGAAGUAGGAUAUUAAGGAAGUGAAACAGCCACAAAGAUCUGCAUGCAGUUGAAGUUUUGUUGUAUAUAGGGAAGUAGAACUACAGGUCUGUCCUAAAGAUAUACAAGCUGGAGUGUAGGCUCUCAGUGAAAGUCAGACUGAUUUGACUGACAUCUGUGUGAAAACGAAGUGCUUGGUGUUGGAAAAUGGAGGUGCACUGGUGGAUUUUCAGUGAAAAGGCACCUUGAGUGGGAAGGUUAACUCCUUUGUUUGGUCACAUUAAAAGAAUAACAGAAGUUACUAAUCAGAGAGGUAAUGGGCCCACAGAAAAUGAACAAACUAGAUGAAAACCAUGGCCUUUGAUGUGGGAGCAGAUUGCAAGAUUUUAU
Molecule: long non-coding RNA, 1654 nt
Organism: Hirundo rustica (Barn swallow)
Lineage: Eukaryota; Metazoa; Chordata; Aves; Passeriformes; Hirundinidae
Exons: 3
Source: RefSeq, a predicted model, not a curated record